AACGGGUGAGUAACGCGUGAGGACUUACCCAUUUCCGGGGGAUAACAGUUGGAAACAGCUGCUAAUACCGCAUAAGCCUAAGGGUAAAAGAAGUAAUUCGGGAAUGGAGAGACUCGCGUCCUAUCAGCUAGUAGGUGAGAUAAGAGCUCACCUAGGCGAAGACGGGUAACCGGACUGAGAGGUCGAACGGUCACACUGGAACUGAGACACGGUCCAGACUCCUACGGGAGGCAGCAGUGGGGAAUUUUGGGCAAUGGGGGGAACCCUGACCCAGCGACGCCGCGUGAGUGAAGAAAUUCCUCGGAAUGUAAAGCUCUGUUGUAUGGGAAGAUAAUGACGGUACCAUACGAGGAAGCCCCGGCAAACUACGUGCCAGCAGCCGCGGUAAUACGUAGGGGGCAAGCGUUGUCCGGAAUUACUGGGCGUAAAGCGCACGCAGGCGGAAUUGUAAGUCCGUUGUAAAAUUCAGAGGCUCAACCUCUGUCUGUCGGCGGAUACUGCAAAUCUAGAGUAUGUGAGAGGGAAGUGGAAUUCCUGGUGUAGCGGUGAAAUGCGUAGAUAUCAGGAGGAACUCCGGUGGCGAAGGCGACUUCCUGGCACAAGACUGACGCUCAUGUGCGAAAGCUAGGGUAGCGAACGGGAUUAGAUACCCCGGUAGUCCUAGCCGUAAAUGAUGGAUACUAGGUGUGGGUGUCGCAGGGCAUCCGUGCCGCAGUUAACGCGUUAAGUAUCCCGCCUGGGGACUACGGUUCGCAAGACUGAAACUCAAAGGAAUUGACGGGGGCCCGCACAA
RNAcentral lists this ribosomal RNA (793 nucleotides) under uncultured bacterium. RNAcentral's name for it is "bacterial SSU rRNA". It matches the Rfam family "Bacterial small subunit ribosomal RNA", at positions 101 to 928 of the family's 1533-position model. The record is from RNAcentral.